Molecule: long non-coding RNA, 1223 nt
Filed under: Salmo salar (Atlantic salmon)
Lineage: Eukaryota; Metazoa; Chordata; Actinopteri; Salmoniformes; Salmonidae
Description: lncRNA (ENSSSAG00000108657.1)
Source: RNAcentral
CACAAAAGUAGAAUUAAGACAUCCGGGAUAAAUGACUCAGCUGAGCUCAAUGAAGCCAAAACAUGUGCGUCCAGGCUUAAUUGGUUGCACAAAGACCAAGCCAGGAUGAGCAGACACGGAUUCAUUAAGCCAGGUGAAACCAAUCCUGGAUAGGUGCGCGCUCACGGCUCACUCAAAUAGACCCCGCCACAGAUCACAGAUUAACUGAUUUACCAUGGCAACUAGAGCCGCGUACUUUUCCCCGUCGGAAGCACAAAUCCUCAUGGAGGCAUACGAGGAGGUAAAAUAUAUAAUUAAGAAGAAAGGCAACACCGCCACAGUGAUAAAGCAAAGAGAAAAAGCGUGGCAAAGUAUUGCAGACCGCCUGAAUGCAUUAAACAUGAACGGGCCAAAACGGACAUGGCAGCAGGUCAAAAUCAAAUACAAGAACAUUCUGCAGAAUGCAGUGAAAAAGAAUACCCACAGACAAGGCACGGGUGGUGGGUCACCAAAGGCUGACCUUACCCCAGCAGAGGACAUGGCCUUGGAGCUAAAUAAAGGCAGGCCCGUCUUAGAGGGGAUCCCUGGGGGGAAAGAGACGAGCAUAGGUUCCUCCCAAGAUGCCACCCGCUUCAUUCAAGUGUCUGGCAGCACUGUGUUCCUGUUAGAGCCACCAGCACAAGCACCAGACGAUGCUGAUCCAGGUGAAGGCCCCAGUGCAGCAGCAACAGCACAUGAUGGAGACGAUGAUGAGGAGGAGACCAUCUCUCUGGAUUCCAGAAGGCAUGAGGACCCAGAUGCUAUACAGUGGGAAAACCAGCCUGGCAACAUAGUGCGUAUUAAUAAAAGGACACCACAUCCUGCCAAAUUCCAGCUGCGCUAAUUGUAUUGUGUUCACAGAGCUCACAAGCUAUCAGAAAGUUGUAUGGCAACCACCUCCGGCGCCAAAUAGAACUGGCAGACAUAGACAUUCAGUACAAGAAGAAAAAGAUGGAAAAUCUUGCACUGGAGUCCGAAAUAAAAAAGAGGACAAUUAGGAAACUGGACCUUGAAAUAAAAAAACUUGAGAGGGAGGUGAGAUAUGCCUUCAAUGUACACUGUAUGCUAACUGUAACACAAAUGUAUUAAUCAUUAUUUUUCUUUCCUCCCCCAGCUCCAAGAAGAUGACACAGCUCAAAAUAAAAAUUAGCAAUCAGUACAACCAAGUCAUCGUUAUAAGGCAUCGCCCUCUUUUGCCCACCCCC